This is a transfer RNA of Felis catus (domestic cat), 85 nucleotides long. It matches the Rfam family "tRNA". Rfam says of the family: Transfer RNA (tRNA) molecules are approximately 80 nucleotides in length. Their secondary structure includes four short double-helical elements and three loops (D, anti-codon, and T loops). The record is from Rfam. NCBI's taxonomy places the organism in Eukaryota, Metazoa, Chordata, Mammalia, Carnivora, Felidae.
GCCUGGGUGGCUCAGUCGGUUGAGCGACUGACUUCAGCUCAGGUCAUGAUCUCACGGUUUGUGAGUUCGAGCCCCGCGUCAGGCU